This 324-nucleotide transfer-messenger RNA is filed under the name Roseococcus sp. SYP-B2431. Its description in RNAcentral is "Alphaproteobacteria transfer-messenger RNA". It matches the Rfam family "Alphaproteobacteria transfer-messenger RNA". From Rfam's summary of the family: Bacterial tmRNA, also known as 10Sa RNA or SsrA, is named for its dual tRNA and mRNA-like properties. Its role is to liberate the mRNA from a stalled ribosome. Lineage: Bacteria; Pseudomonadati; Pseudomonadota; Alphaproteobacteria; Acetobacterales; Roseomonadaceae. The record is from Rfam by way of RNAcentral.
CCCCUCGCAUCCGGAACCGGGGAUCGCUAUAUGAGCGGUGCCGCUUGCGGCUAUGGCGAUAAACGUUGCGUGGAAUAAUCGUUACGGACCCGGGGGCAGUGCCCGGCGUCUCCACCACCAUCCGGUCCUUUGUCAGGGAUCAGGUCUUGGGGACGAAACAGGCUCGACGUGCGUGGUAAAGACGUAGCUUUUGCCCGGCAUUGUACCGCCGUUAUCGGGCUAAAUCACAAGUGCCAAUGACAAUGUCCGCGAGGACAUGGCGCUCGCUGCCUAGGAAUAGGUAAGCGCGGUUCGGGGGGCGCCGGGCAACAGAAGCCCCCCACU